UGUCGAGUCGAGCGGACCGACGGGAGCUUGCUCCCUUAGGUCAGCGGCGGACGGGUGAGUAACACGUGGGUAACCUGCCUGUAAGACUGGGAUAACUCCGGGAAACCGGGGCUAAUACCGGAUGCUUGAUUGAACCGCAUGGUUCAAUCAUAAAAGGUGGCUUUUAGCUACCACUUGCAGAUGGACCCGCGGCGCAUUAGCUAGUUGGUGAGGUAACGGCUCACCAAGGCGACGAUGCGUAGCCGACCUGAGAGGGUGAUCGGCCACACUGGGACUGAGACACGGCCCAGACUCCUACGGGAGGCAGCAGUAGGGAAUCUUCCGCAAUGGACGAAAGUCUGACGGAGCAACGCCGCGUGAGUGAUGAAGGUUUUCGGAUCGUAAAACUCUGUUGUUAGGGAAGAACAAGUACCGUUCGAAUAGGGCGGCACCUUGACGGUACCUAACCAGAAAGCCACGGCUAACUACGUGCCAGCAGCCGCGGUAAUACGUAGGUGGCAAGCGUUGUCCGGAAUUAUUGGGCGUAAAGCGCGCGCAGGCGGUUUCUUAAGUCUGAUGUGAAAGCCCCCGGCUCAACCGGGGAGGGUCAUUGGAAACUGGGGAACUUGAGUGCAGAAGAGGAGAGUGGAAUUCCACGUGUAGCGGUGAAAUGCGUAGAGAUGUGGAGGAACACCAGUGGCGAAGGCGACUCUCUGGUCUGUAACUGACGCUGAGGCGCGAAAGCGUGGGGAGCGAACAGGAUUAGAUACCCUGGUAGUCCACGCCGUAAACGAUGAGUGCUAAGUGUUAGAGGGUUUCCGCCCUUUAGUGCUGCAGCAAACGCAUUAAGCACUCCGCCUGGGGAGUACGGUCGCAAGACUGAAACUCAAAGGAAUUGACGGGGGCCCGCACAAGCGGUGGAGCAUGUGGUUUAAUUCGAAGCAACGCGAAGAACCUUACCAGGUCUUGACAUCCUCUGACAACCCUAGAGAUAGGGCUUCCCCUUUCGGGGCAGAGUGACAGGUGGUGCAUGGUUGUCGUCAGCUCGUGUCGUGGAAUGUUGGGUUAGUUCCCGCACGAGCGCACCCUUGAUCUUAAUUGC
Molecule: ribosomal RNA, 1081 nt
Filed under: Bacillus licheniformis
Lineage: Bacteria; Bacillati; Bacillota; Bacilli; Caryophanales; Bacillaceae
Description: bacterial SSU rRNA
Rfam family: Bacterial small subunit ribosomal RNA
Source: RNAcentral